Molecule: ribosomal RNA, 491 nt
Filed under: uncultured bacterium
Lineage: Bacteria
Description: partial 16S ribosomal RNA
Rfam family: Bacterial small subunit ribosomal RNA
Source: RNAcentral
GUGAACGCUGGCGGUAGGCCUAACCCAUGCAAGUCGAACGGCAGCACAGUAAGAGCUUGCUCUUACGGGUGGCGAGUGGCGGACGGGUGGGGAAUACAUCGGAAUCUACUUUUUCGUGGGGGAUAACGUAGGGAAACUUACGCUAAUACCGCAUACGACCUACGGGUGAAAGCAGGGGAUCUUCGGACCUUGCGCGAUUGAAUGAGCCGAUGUCGGAUUAGCUAGUUGGCGGGGUAAAGGCCCACCAAGGCGACGAUCCGUAGCUGGUCUGAGAGGAUGAUCAGCCACACUGGAACUGAGACACGGUCCAGACUCCUACGGGAGGCAGCAGUGGGGAAUAUUGGACAAUGGGCGCAAGCCUGAUCCAGCCAUACCGCGUGGGUGAAGAAGGCCUUCGGGUUGUAAAGCCCUUUUGUUGGGAAAGAAAAGCAGCAGGUUAAUACCCCGCUGUUCUGACGGUACCCAAAGAAUAAGCACCGGCUAACUUCGUG